GACGAACGCUGGCGGCGUGCUUAACACAUGCAAGUCGAACGGUGAAGCGCCUUCCUUUUUGGUGGGUGUGGAUGAGUGGCCAACGGGUGAGUAACACGUGAGUAACCUUCCCCCUCCUUCUGGAUAACCGCAUGAAAGUGUGGCUAAUACGGGAUAUUCUGAGUCUGUCGCAUCAUGGGUCUGGGAAGGAUUUUGUUUCGGUUGGGGAUGGGCUCGCGGCCUAUCAGCUUGUUGGUGGGGUGAUGGCCUACCAAGGCGGUGAGGGGUAGCCGUCCUGAGAGGGUGGGCCACACUAGUGCGAAUGAGAGGCGGCCAAGCCUACGGCGGGCGGCAGCAGGGAGUAAUACUGCACGAGCGGAGGAAGGAUGAUGCAGCGCCGCCGCGUGAGUGAUGGAGGCCGUCGGGUUGAGAACCUCUAUCGGGAGAGAAGAAAGGCUGCAGCGUCUGUGGGUGUGUUGACGGUAGCUGGAUAAAAAGCGACGGCUAACUACGUG
This 494-nucleotide ribosomal RNA is filed under the name uncultured bacterium. RNAcentral's name for it is "partial 16S ribosomal RNA". It matches the Rfam family "Bacterial small subunit ribosomal RNA", at positions 28 to 507 of the family's 1533-position model. The record is from RNAcentral.